Molecule: ribosomal RNA, 485 nt
Filed under: uncultured bacterium
Lineage: Bacteria
Description: bacterial SSU rRNA
Rfam family: Bacterial small subunit ribosomal RNA
Source: RNAcentral
CAGGAUGAACGCUGGCGGCGUGCUUAACACAUGCAAGUCGAACGAAGCAUUCUAACUCGUCGGAGGAGGAAAUGACUGAGUGGCGGACGGGUGAGUAACGCGUGGGUAACCUGCCUUAUACAGGGGGGUAACAGUUAGAAAUGACUGCUAAUACCGCAUAACCCGCUAGUACCGCAUGGUACAGACGGAAAAGAUUUAUCGGUAUAAGAUGGACCCGCGUCUGAUUAGCUAGUUGGUGAGGUAAUGGCUCACCAAGGCGACGAUCAGUAGCCGGCUUGAGAGAGUGAACGGCCACAUUGGGACUGAGACACGGCCCAAACUCCUACGGGAGGCAGCAGUGGGGAAUAUUGCACAAUGGGGGAAACCCUGAAUGCAGCAACGCCGCGUGAAGGAAGAAGUAUUUCGGUAUGUAAACUUCUAUCAGCAGGAAAGAAAAUGACGGUACCUGACUAAGAAGCCCCGGCUAACUACGUGCCAGCCGCCGC